This 434-nucleotide ribosomal RNA is filed under the name uncultured Blautia sp. RNAcentral's name for it is "partial 16S ribosomal RNA". It matches the Rfam family "Bacterial small subunit ribosomal RNA", at positions 341 to 792 of the family's 1533-position model. The record is from RNAcentral. Lineage: Bacteria; Bacillati; Bacillota; Clostridia; Lachnospirales; Lachnospiraceae.
ACGGAAGGCAGCAGUGGGGAAUAUUGCACAAUGGGGGAAACCCUGAUGCAGCGACGCCGCGUGAAGGAAGAAGUAUCUCGGUAUGUAAACUUCUAUCAGCAGGGAAGAUAAUGACGGUACCUGACUAAGAAGCCCCGGCUAACUACGUGCCAGCAGCCGCGGUAAUACGUAUGGAGCAAGCGUUAUCCGGAUUUACAGGGUGUAAAGGGAGCGUAGACGGAACAGCAAGUCUGAUGUGAAAGGCAGGGGCUCAACUCCUGGACUGCAUUGGAAACUGCUGAUCUUGAGUGCCGGAGAGGUAAGCGGAAUUCCUAGUGUAGCGGUGAAAUGCGUAGAUAUUAGGAGGAACACCAGUGGCGAAGGCGGCUUACUGGACGGUAACUGACGUUGAGGCUCGAAAGCGUGGGGAGCAAACAGGAUUAGAUACCCUGGUA